RNAcentral lists this transfer RNA (85 nucleotides) under Patescibacteria group bacterium. Its description in RNAcentral is "tRNA-Leu". It matches the Rfam family "tRNA". From Rfam's summary of the family: Transfer RNA (tRNA) molecules are approximately 80 nucleotides in length. Their secondary structure includes four short double-helical elements and three loops (D, anti-codon, and T loops). The record is from RNAcentral.
GCGGACGUGCUGGAAUUGGUAGACAGGCUAGCUUGAGGAGCUAGUGGGCUUAUAGCCCGUGGAGGUUCAAGUCCUCUCGUCCGCA